GACGAACGCUGGCGGCGUGCUUAACACAUGCAAGUCGAACGAUGAAGCUGGAGCUUGCUCUAGCGGAUUAGUGGCGAACGGGUGAGUAACACGUGAGCAAUCUGCCCUUGACUCUGGGAUAACUGCGGGAAACUGUAGCUAAUACCGGAUACUUUCACCGGGGGGCAUCCUCUGGUGAUGAAAGAAUUUCGGUCAAGGAUGAGCUCGCGGCCUAUCAGCUUGUUGGUGAGGUAACGGCUCACCAAGGCGACGACGGGUAACCGGCCUGAGAGGGUGGCCGGUCACACUGGGACUGAGACACGGCCCAGACUCCUACGGGAGGCAGCAGUGGGGAAUAUUGCACAAUGGGCGCAAGCCUGAUGCAGCAACGCCGCGUGAGGGAUGAAGGCCUUCGGGUCGUAAACCUCUUUUAGCAGGGAAGAAGCGAAAGUGACGGUACCUGCAGAAAAAGCACCGGCUAACUACGUGCCAGCCGCCGCCGUAA
Molecule: ribosomal RNA, 484 nt
Filed under: uncultured bacterium
Lineage: Bacteria
Description: partial 16S ribosomal RNA
Rfam family: Bacterial small subunit ribosomal RNA
Source: RNAcentral